Molecule: small nucleolar RNA, 94 nt
Filed under: Erpetoichthys calabaricus (reedfish)
Lineage: Eukaryota; Metazoa; Chordata; Cladistia; Polypteriformes; Polypteridae
Description: Small nucleolar RNA SNORD35 (ENSECRG00000020863.1)
Rfam family: Small nucleolar RNA SNORD35
About the family: U35 is a C/D box snoRNA located in intron 6 of ribosomal protein L13A and intron 3 of ribosomal protein S11 in humans and at homologous positions in mouse and chicken ribosomal protein genes. U35 guides the methylation of 2'-O-ribose sites in 28S rRNA.
Source: Rfam by way of RNAcentral
UGCACAUGAUGUUUUUCUCACGAUGGUCUUCCAAGCUUCAUUGGUAUAAGAGGCUUUGACGAAAUCUGCCUUUAGGCAUUGCUGAUGCAGCUUG